RNAcentral lists this ribosomal RNA (300 nucleotides) under uncultured Lactobacillus sp. RNAcentral's name for it is "bacterial SSU rRNA". It matches the Rfam family "Bacterial small subunit ribosomal RNA", at positions 496 to 795 of the family's 1533-position model. The record is from RNAcentral. Lineage: Bacteria; Bacillati; Bacillota; Bacilli; Lactobacillales; Lactobacillaceae.
GCAAACAACGUGCGAGCGCGGGCGUGAUAACGGAGUGGGCAAGCGUGAUCCGGAUUUACUGGGUGUAAAGGGAGCUGAGACGGAGUAGCAAGGCUGAUGUGAAAGGCAGGGGCUCAACCCCAGGACUGCAUUGGAAACGGCCAGUCUUGAGUGCCGGAGAGGUAAGCGGAAUUCCUAGUGUAGCGGUGAAAUGCGUAGAUAUUAGGAGGAACACCAGUGGCGAAGGCGGCUUACUGGACGGCAACUGACGUUGAGGCUCGAAAGCGUGGGGAGCAAACAGGAUUAGAUACCCGAGUAGUC